RNAcentral lists this long non-coding RNA (1793 nucleotides) under Gossypium barbadense (sea-island cotton). Its description in RNAcentral is "long non-coding RNA (GBAR_LNC015588)". Lineage: Eukaryota; Viridiplantae; Streptophyta; Magnoliopsida; Malvales; Malvaceae. The record is from RNAcentral.
GGGAUCCUUUCAUUGUUGAACACAAUCCUCACAUACAUGACCCGGAUGAUGUUUUCCCUGGCCUUGUCAUCAAGAUUACUCCUUUCCUUUCCACAACAGGUAGACCGUAGUAGACUGCUUCUUUCUUACCACUUUCAAUCCUGCUUUGCUCAUUUCCCUUGUUUAAUUUACAUCCCGCUUCAAAGUAAAAUAUAUGCCGGGGGAAAUGUGUUGUAUUGAGAGGGCAAGUGAUUGGUAUAAUUAGUAACACUUCCUUCUAAAUGCAUUUUUUUGUUUCCUUUUAAAUUCCUCAUAAACCCCUAAUUGAAGGAUAUUAGAGGCUUAAAUUCACCAAUUUUAAGUUGUUCUUAUAGCACUAGUGCCAAUUAAUUUUUAAAAAUGUUUCAUGUUUACUAUUUAAUUAUAUACUAGAAAAACAAUAAAUAAUGAUAUACAAAUUAAUAAUAAAAUAUAACGUAAAUACUAUAUUGACAUAAUGUGUUGAUUUAUUGAUAAAAUUAAUAUUUUAUUAAUUUGAAUAAUAAGGGCUUAAAUCCCUUACCUGUAUUUUUUUAAUAAAAAAAUAAAAUUCCCUCCAAUAAUUUAAUUUAUUUUAAUUAUAGAAAGACAUAUUUAUAAUUUUUUUUAAUUAAAUUGUUACCUCAUUAACUCGUAAUACUAUCUUAUUAUACUAAUGUUAGUGUAUAUAUUACCUCACCCCCUCUCAAAUGUCAACCUCCAACAAUCUUUAAUUGGCAUUAGUAUCAUCUAUAUCUUAGCUAAUAAUAAGUUGACACAGAUAUAUUAUUAGCUCUUUGGCCUUUAUUCCAAAUUUAUACACCAUCUUAUAAUUUAAUAUAUUCAAACUAACAACUUGUUUAAAAAUAUUUAAAUCCAUAAUUUUUUAUAAUUCAAAAUAAAAAUAAUUUGAUAGAAUUUUUUAUAGAAAAUGUGAAAUAUAAUAAAUAGAUUAUUUUAUUUAUUUUAAUAUUAUAUUAUCCUAUAAAAAAUUUAUAUUUUUUUAUUUAAAAUAAAGUGCAAUGUUUAAAAAUUAAGGAUAUGAUGUAUAAUAUAUUUUUUUAUAAUUUAAAAUCUAUAUUUACUCAGCAAUCUAAUUAUAUUUCAUAAUAAUUCUAAGUAAUAUAUUAAAUAUUAUUAAAACUUAAAUUUUUAACACUUAUAUUCUUUUAGUUUAUCAAACAACACCUGAAUAAGAGACAAUUAAGCACAUCUAUAUCUAAAACUUUUCAUCAGAUAGAAAUAUACUUAGAGCUAUAAAAAGGAAAAAUAAAAUUUGAAUGCAAUCCAAGUUAAAGUAAGUUAAUUAAAUGAUUAAAUAUCGGUUUUUGGUAGGAUUAAUAACUAACUAAACCAACCAAAAAAUUUAUUAUAUGUUGACUUUUUAUUAAGAUGGAAGCUUUGGAUCUUUGGAUAUUCAAAUUCAAGUUUAAUCAUAUGUAAUUGUGAUGCAGGGAUGUCUAUUCCACCAUGUAUUAUGAAUUUUAAGCAAUUAUUUAUUUAUUGUGUAUUAUAGUUGGUCAAGUAUAUAUAUUUAUGAAUGUAGUGUGAAACUCUAAAAAACACAUUAAAAAUGAAUUGGGCAUAUGGGCUUCUUAACAUGAAAUAUUAAGGCAAGGAAUGAAGAUGGCAGCAGGCUGAAUGGCCCAAUUCCCCUAUAAUUUGAUUUUACUACUCAAAUUUCAUGACUCUUAUUAUUACAACAACCUGCGUUUUUAAGUGCAUGCGUUUAUUGUAAAGAAUUAAAUCAAAUUUUUAAUGUGGAUUAAAGUAUAAUUUUAUCUUUAUUAAAGGAC